AGCAUGGAGAGCAGAGCGCAAAGAUUUCUUCCGGACUCCCACAUUCCCCUUGGAAUCCAAGAACUGGUCUACUGUCACAACACUUUAGUACCCUCUUCUCCCAAGGAGGCAGCAGAAACUGGGGUAAUCACAACGGUCAACAGCAGCAAAGGCAGCACUUUCUGAUUUACUUGACUGCUAUGGAUGCCACCUCUCUCCACGCCUCAGUUUAAUAUCUACUUUGGUAUUCUGGUGACUGACUCCACCCAGAUCCCAUGACUCAUGACUCAGCUGGUCCUGUGGUUCUUACCCAGUCUGACACAGCACCAGAGGACCGUUUUCCACACUUCUAUCUAUGAUUUCAUCCCCAACCAAUCAGCACCACCCAUUCCCUAGCCCCCUGCCCACCAAAUUGAUAUCCAUAAAAACCCUAACCUCUGAGUUCUCAGAGAAACUGAUUGGAGUAAUAAACUCCUGUCUUCUGUGUGGCUAGCCUUAUGUUAAUUAAACUCUUUCUUAGGGCA
This is a long non-coding RNA of Homo sapiens (human), 503 nucleotides long. Ensembl annotates it as LAMTOR5 and SLC16A4 antisense RNA 1. Its record names the gene LAMTOR5-AS1. The record is from Ensembl. NCBI's taxonomy places the organism in Eukaryota, Metazoa, Chordata, Mammalia, Primates, Hominidae.